RNAcentral lists this ribosomal RNA (254 nucleotides) under uncultured bacterium. RNAcentral's name for it is "partial 16S ribosomal RNA". It matches the Rfam family "Bacterial small subunit ribosomal RNA", at positions 524 to 776 of the family's 1533-position model. The record is from RNAcentral.
CACGUAGGGGGCAAGCGUUGUCCGGAUUUAUUGGGCGUAAAGAGCUCGUAGGUGGUUCGGUAAGUCGGGUGUUCAACCCCCAGGCUCAACCUGGGGACGCCACUCGAUACUGCUGUGACUAGAGUCCGGUAGGGGAGCGUGGAAUUCCUGGUGUAGCGGUGAAAUGCGCAGAUAUCAGGAGGAACACCAGUGGCGAAGGCGGCUCACUGGACCGGAACUGACGCUGAGGCGCGAAAGCGUGGGGAGCAAACAGG